RNAcentral lists this ribosomal RNA (279 nucleotides) under uncultured bacterium. RNAcentral's name for it is "partial 16S ribosomal RNA". It matches the Rfam family "Bacterial small subunit ribosomal RNA", at positions 333 to 609 of the family's 1533-position model. The record is from RNAcentral.
UAGUCCCUACGGGAGGCAGCAGUGAGGAAUAUUGGUCAAUGGACGAGAGUCUGAACCAGCCAAGUAGCGUGAAGGAUGACUGCCCUAUGGGUUGUAAACUUCUUUUAUAUGGGAAUAAAGUUUUCCACGUGUGGAAUUUUGUAUGUACCAUAUGAAUAAGGAUCGGCUAACUCCGUGCCAGCAGCCGCGGUAAUACGGAGGAUCCGAGCGUUAUCCGGAUUUAUUGGGUUUAAAGGGAGCGUAGGUGGAUUGUUAAGCCAGUUGAGAAAGUUGGCGGCU